AGUGAACGCUGGCGGUAGGCCUAACACAUGCAAGUCGAACGGCAGCACAGUAAGAGCUUGCUCUUACGGGUGGCGAGUGGCGGACGGGUGAGGAAUACAUCGGAAUCUACUUUUUCGUGGGGGAUAACGUAGGGAAACUUACGCUAAUACCGCAUACGACCUACGGGUGAAAUCAGGGGAUCUUCGGACCUUGCGCGAUUGAAUGAGCCGAUGUCGGAUUAGCUAGUUGGCGGGGUAAAGGCCCACCAAGGCGACGAUCCGUAGCUGGUCUGAGAGGAUGAUCAGCCACACUGGAACUGAGACACGGUCCAGACUCCUACGGGAGGCAGCAGUGGGGAAUAUUGGACAAUGGGCGCAAGCCUGAUCCAGCCAUACCGCGUGGGUGAAGAAGGCCUUCGGGUUGUAAAGCCCUUUUGUUGGGAAAGAAAAGCAGCAGGUUAAUACCCCGAUGUUCUGACGGUACCCAAAGAAUAAGCACCGGCUAACUUCGUG
RNAcentral lists this ribosomal RNA (492 nucleotides) under uncultured bacterium. Its description in RNAcentral is "partial 16S ribosomal RNA". It matches the Rfam family "Bacterial small subunit ribosomal RNA", at positions 29 to 507 of the family's 1533-position model. The record is from RNAcentral.